GACGAACGCUGGCGGCGUGCUUAACACAUGCAAGUCGAACGGAAAGGCCCUGCUUUUGUGGGGUGCUCGAGUGGCGAACGGGUGAGUAACACGUGAGUAACCUGCCCUUGACUUUGGGAUAACUUCAGGAAACUGGGGCUAAUACCGGAUAGGAGCUCCUGCUGCAUGGUGGGGGUUGGAAAGUUUCGGCGGUUGGGGAUGGACUCGCGGCUUAUCAGCUUGUUGGUGGGGUAGUGGCUUACCAAGGCUUUGACGGGUAGCCGGCCUUAGAGGGUGACCGGCCACAUUGGGACUGAGAUACGGCCCAGACUCCUACGGGAGGCAGCAGUGGGGAAUAUUGCACAAUGGGCGGAAGCCUGAUGCAGCAACGCCGCGUGCGGGAUGACGGCCUUCGGGUUGUAAACCGCUUUCGCCUGUGACGAAGCGUGAGUGACGGUAAUGGGUAAAGAAGCACCGGCUAACUACGU
Molecule: ribosomal RNA, 467 nt
Filed under: uncultured bacterium
Lineage: Bacteria
Description: partial 16S ribosomal RNA
Rfam family: Bacterial small subunit ribosomal RNA
Source: RNAcentral